Molecule: long non-coding RNA, 3011 nt
Organism: Triticum dicoccoides
Lineage: Eukaryota; Viridiplantae; Streptophyta; Magnoliopsida; Poales; Poaceae
Exons: 2
Source: RefSeq, a predicted model, not a curated record
UCCAUGACGGCGACGACGUCCAGCGGUUCCCGCCGGCCCAAGCAGGUCCAUCUUCUCCUCCAACCCCUCUCAUGGGCUCCUCGCUGUCGCCUCGAUGGCUGGGACCCCUCCGCAACCGCCGGCCACCGGCAGCAGCCCCAGGGCCGAUGGUGACUCCCAGGCUGCGGCAUUGCUCAACACCGGCGACCUCGACGCCUAGCCCCAGCAAGCAUCUCUCUCUCUCUCUCCCCCCGUUCUUCUUUUAUGCUGUGCCAGUACGUACCACGGUGGCCAUCCAUUGUCCAGGCCCGUCCAUGCAUUGCAGAUUUUUGUGUAUGUGACUAUAAGGUGUUUGAUGAAAAAACAAGCAGGGUAGCAAAAGAUUUAUUUCUGCUAAUGCUCUUUUGUGUAAUCAAUAUUUCUUUUUCUUCUGAUGGGUGGUUAGGGGUUUGUUUUGGGAUGUUUCAUUGAAUUUGAAAAGACUUUUCAUGCUUACUUGGAGGCACCAAGGUCAACUAAUUCUGAUCCUAGCAUAAGUAUACUCAAAGGGAGUAUUAAUUAGGCACAGUCUGUUUAGAGCAUUGCACUGUGUUUUUGCUUUGCUAAUACUGAUGUGUAAGUCAAGAAUGUGCGAGUAUAUGGACCUUUCUCUUUUGAAUAAAGAGAUGUGUAAACAACAAACUGAUGCAUAAACGUACAAAUUUUGUUCACUAGAUACACUGCAUGUUCAACACAGAUGAUCAUCCUUGAUAUGACAAGGUCAACUAUUUUCCUAAUAAUUAGUGGUUAUUUCCUAUGAGGGAGCCUUUCUACAUCUCACAUAGCAGAUCUUCUUUGCAACUCUCUUGCUCUCUCAUAAGAAGCUAUACUUUGCAAGGGCCUCAAAGAAAAAAGUCUGUAUUCAACAGACAGUAUUGAAGCAUCAUUUUCGAAUAUAAAUUGGUUUUGUUUAUACUCUGGAGAUAUUAUCUCUCUCAACUCUUAUCAUAUGGCAGAGACUGAAUGAUCCUAACGGCAAGAUGUCGACAUAGUAUCCAGGUCCCAGUAUACACACUAAAAAAGAGCAGUUGUUUCCCGCUCAUCUUUUCAACAACCGUAACUAUUUUCCAACUUUUUGAGUGACAUAGAAUUCUAUGUUCUGUUUGAUUCCUUGCAACCAACAAAAAGGAGUGGCUAACACUCUAUUGUUUGUUCUAUAUUUUCAUACUUGUUUUUCCUUCGGCUACCUCACAGUAGAAAUUGGGGAGAAGUGGGUAGCUAGCUUUUUUCAUACUUGCUUUUCCUUCGGCUACCUCACACUAGAAAGGGGGAGAAGUGGGUAGCUAGCUUUUUUCAACUCCAGCAGAAUUUAUCAUUGAUCUAUGCAUGAUUAAACACCAAUUGCGGCAUUCAUUGUGUACUACUACAGUCUUAUUGUUGAGAUGGUUCUCUUACAUUGGUUGAACAAGUUGUGUAUUAUUGAGUAAUGCUGAAUGGAACUAUCUAUUUCUUUUGCCGGUGGUGGAGGAAUUACUGAUCUCAAGUUGCCUGCAAGCUUCAUGGACUGCUCUGAGUUGAGUGCCAACUGCUAAGGUACUAUCCUAAUAUAUAUAAGAUUUCCCAUCGGAAACUUGAAAUCGUAGGGUAUACCAAACUGUUGCAUUAUGGCCAUUCGGUUCAUUUUGUUUGCAUUAAUGUAUGAAGUCUUUUCUCUCGGUGUUGGAAGACAAACUGAAAAAUGUUCCCUCUAUUUAUAGUUAUGUUCACUUUAGAUAUAUGAAAUCUUUGAUUUAUUUUGUCAAUUGUGUUCUUCAUCAGAUGUUGUUCUUAAAAGGUUGCUGAUUACACCUAGAAAGAUCCUCCUAUAAAAGUAGAGUUGCACUCUUUCACGCACAUCACCCAUGGAUCUCAGUGGAUCUAGAUAGGCAACAUUCAGAUUGCGAAAAACAUAAUUUACCUGCUAUUCUUUCUGGCCGACAAUAAUCUUCCCGACGACUAAUAUAUAUAUGAUUCUUGGGCUCAUCACAAGAUUAUAGUGGGCAUGUGCAUUUUCUGCAAGGGAAGAUCAUAGAACACAUGUAACUUGGUUCUAUCUGAAACAAAGAAACUAUACACUAGAUAAAAUGAUUAGUCUCGGAAGGGUUAAGCUUAUUUUUGGUUAAUCUACUGCUUCAAGUUUGCUUCAUCAAAUGAUGCCUUUUUUAGCCAUUUUAAUAUUUUACGUUAUGGCAUUCCAUGAUAGUGUGCCCACUUAUUCUAUAGCCACCCUUUCUGAUGACCAAAUCAAGAUAUUACUUUGUUUUUCUUUUUGAUACGUGUGUGAAUUUUCCCAGCACUAAACAACAAUGCCAUGAAUACAACAUAAGAUAUGACAGUAAGGUUUGCUUACCCUUGGUGAUCAUCCAAGAGUUGAUGUUUUAUCUCUGAAUUGGGAACAAUAGUCCAACUAAAUGAAUAAGGACACUUAUGCAUAGGCGGUUCUUAUAAACAAACAUUAUAGUAUGAUUAUUUAUUUUGUGCACCUGCAAGAUUCUAUUACUUGUCCUAUAGGAUUGAUAGGGAUAAUAAUCUUACUCGGAUCUGGACUAUAACAUUUUUGGUUUCAGGUAUGUAGAAUUAUGGCUUUAGGUUGUAACCUGGGUGGUCAGUAGAUUAGAUUUCGCGGGGCUUUUCAAAUCUGUUCAAACAUCUCAGUGGAUCAGAUUUAUGUAUUUAUUGUAUCAUUGUCCUUUUAAAAGGAAAUGUACCAUUUUUCGUUUAAGUUUGUUGACCAAGGUUGUCAAAGUAGUAAACUCAGCCACUGUGGCAUGAUCAACUUUUAUGAGCAACUUCUUUAUACUGGGAAAAUCAAAUGUAGGUCCAAGUGGCUUCGCGACAGGGUUUGGAAACACUGCUUGUGGGUGACCAUGGGCUGCCCGUAGGAGAGACAAAUAAACAUAGCAUACAGAGAAAUAAUUGAUUCAUCACAAGUACAUGCGGUCUUUCUUUGGUCAUACAUGCAGUUUAAGUUUGGUUGGCAGACCAUUUUACUCAAUUUAAUUAUCUUAUUUUCA